Long non-coding RNA from Cavia porcellus (domestic guinea pig), 9706 nucleotides. RefSeq lists it as uncharacterized. The record is from RefSeq and is a predicted model, not a curated record. NCBI's taxonomy places the organism in Eukaryota, Metazoa, Chordata, Mammalia, Rodentia, Caviidae. The transcript has 3 exons.
CUCGUCCCAGCUCCAGCCUCCCCCCACCCCCCCACGGCCAGUUUCCAUUGGGGAGGGAGUAGGGGGGGCGGGAGCGAGCUCCAGUGAGAUGCGAACGGCCAAUAGGGGCGCGGAGAGUGGGCCAGGAGGUGGGCGCCGCGGCGGCCGGCCGGAGAAAGCUCAGCCAAUGCGCGCGCGCCCCACAUCCUAGGGCCCGCAGCGCCACCUCUGGCCGCUUUUGUGCCCCGGGUCGCGCCCAGCGCCACGCCCGACUGCCCCGGGCUCUAGCGGAGCGCCCACUAGAGAGACGCGGGUUUGGCGGUCAAGCCGGCGCGGGCGCCAGCGGGGCAGCCAUUGUGUCGUCUCUCGCGCUGCCGACGUGGAGCCCGCCGCGCGUUUUGGAGGGACUCCGAGGCACCCUCAGCGUACUGCUAGGCUUGAUCCGGGUCGGUGAUGGCAGACCCUUCGCUCGGUAGACCCCGGAAUCUCUCUGGGAGACCAGACCCAGAGUGUUAUCAGGCCCCACGGCAGUGAGAGCCAAAUCGUUCCACUUCCCACUGCCUCCAAAACUUAAGGAUGCAUCCGAACUCGCGCGGUGGCGACUUACUGAGCCGUCCGAAAUCCUGCCACUUUGAAUCACUGGAAACACAGUCACGCUGAGGUUGGCGGUCGGUGAGCCAAACUGAGAGCUGAGCUAGCAAGGAACUUGCAUUGACCUGUGAACCCCAACAUCUGGCACCUGAACAGGGUACUCAACAAUGGAGACGUCUACUGUGAAGGGUGACUUGCCUUCACUGUGUCCCUGGGGUGGGACACAACUUGCAACCCAUCUACUUCAUUUUCUUCGGAAAAUUCCCGGGUAAGUCAUGGGGAAUUCCCUGUCCAAAGCACAGCAGAAAGAAGGCAGAACUGCUUUUUCCCCAAAGAAGGUGGUCCCUGGGCUCCCUGAGUGCAAUUUAGUAUGACUUUUGCAAGAAAUUCAUGAUUACUGUCCGUGGUAUCCUGAAGGAGGAACGCUCAUGAUGGAGGAUUGAGAAAAGAUAAGCAAAUUGCUACAUGUGGAGCCUUGAACCCCCAUCUCUGUCCUCACACCUGGCAUCUCUGCCAGGAUGCUAUCACACCCUUUGGCAGGCGAGCAGACGGAACUCCAUAUGGCUGAUGUUCAGAUCCUCCUGGCUGUGUGCUUCUGCUGUCUCUACCUUAAUUGGGUAAGACCCUAUUUUCCCUUGACCACUCAACAGUUAUCUCCUCUCUUUGAUGCUUUACAGGGUCACACAGAUCCUGCUGAUGUGAUCUCUGACUCUCCUUCUCUACAGCAGGCCCUUCAGAGCAUUGCUCACACAUUCACCACAGUUGUGGUGGAUUGAGUCCUGAAGGACUCCUCUCUCCUUACUCAUUUUUCAUCCAGCCCCUUUGCCCACCAGGGCUCUUGUUGCCAUCCAGGACAGCAAGGUAUUUAUUGUUGAGUGGUUACAUUUACCCCACUCACCUGGUAGUACUUUAUUUCCCAUUAUCAACGCUAUUUCUGCUCUUAUCUCUCCAGGACACACCCCUGCACUUACACUCCUUGGAAUUGACCUCACUGAUGUCAUUUUAUCACUUACAAAACUGACUUCUCCUUUCUGCUGUCCUUAACUAUUCCCUUCAAUGCUGACUAUGCUGGUUCCAUUUCUUUCAAAAUGACCCCAGACCCAGGCUAGAGGGAGCCGGUGCACCUGCUGACCUGGGGAGGAGGGGAUACUUCUGUGUUAUCCCGAACAGGCCCUUGUGGAUUCCUGCUCGUUGCAUUUGCCCUGCAGGGAAUAAGUUGGCACCACAGGCUGUGCAACCCAAUUCCACAGUUUCACCCCUCCCUGAAUCAAGCCUGGCCACUUCAAAAGCGACCCAGGAAGACAACUGCUCAGCCAGUGACCUAGGGUGCUGAAAAGGCACUGAUCCAGUCUGCACAAGACUUACUGCAUGCAUCUGAAAAGGGAUCCACUUCUGAAAAGCUUCCUGCGGUGAUAUUUACCAACUUGGCAAUGAAUUCUUUAAUGCUUGUUUGUAUUCUAUUGCUAUGUGUUUUGUAACCCACCAUGGGGACUUUAGAGUCCCAUAACCUCCAAGAAAGAUUGGAAUACAAUAUUUGGGUUCAGUUGGCAAAAAUUGCUAAUGUCUCUGACUUGUAUCUUGCUCAAAAGAAAGAAAUAAAAUACAUUCUCGGGUCCUGUCUGAUUCUGGUGUGCAAGGACCCUGCCCCUCUAAGUAAUUACACCAUUGUCUCCACUAUUCCAAAUGAAAUUGUAACAUAUGCCGACUACCCAAAUCGGGGCCCUCCCACCCUUCAAAAACCUGAUAAUGCUGUUUAAAUGUUCACUCCAUAUGUAGCAACUUCAAAUGCCUCAUGUCUUUGUAUUGAAAAUUGUACCAUACAAUGUCUUUGCCUUCCUAAUAGUACUUGGAAUUGUUCUAGUUAUGAGCCAGUAUUGUAUGGACAUGGACAUGUUCCUCUCCCUGCUGGAUGGUUUUUCUCAUGUGAAGAGUGUGCCUUCAAUUACAUCCCUGCUAACUUAUAACACAAAAUGUUGCCUUAGUCGCCUUACUAUAUUGUUGCCUUCUCCUGAAUUCACACUGUCUCACACCAAACGGUCUACAACUGGUCUCACUGACCUGUGUGGGAACUUUUCUAUUAGCCUGUUAACCAAAACAGAAAUUUAUGCUUUAGGUAUUUCUUUGGUUGGUGUGCCUGCCUGGCAGCCAGGGCUAAUUGCAAUGUUAAUGUACUAGCUUAUCUCAUGGCAAAGCAAAUUAAUUAUGCAUCUACAGCUAUGGCAUUAUCAACAAAGAACAAAGUGAGCACCAACAAGCAAUUUUAGAUAACUGUACUGUAAUUGAUUGUCUACUUCUAUUGCAUCAUUAUGGAUGUAAUUAAAUUGCUCAAAUGUGCUGUUUUAAUUUGCCUGAUGAAAGUAAAUCCAUCAAGGGGAAACUUCAUGAUUUACAAGAACUUACCAAACAGAUACAUGUGUCUCAAGGUUUCAGUACCGGAUUAUGGAAUUUCCUUACAGGAUGGUUACCAGAUAUCAGUUGGCUAAAACAAAUGUUUCUUUAUGAUGUUACUGUCCUUAAUUGGUAUGGGAUGGCUUGUUCAAUGCAUCCCAUCCCUGUACUAACUGUUCAUACCUAAAAUGCCAGCUUCUAACAUGGUAAGAAAGCCUAAACUAAAUAAAAAAGAAGGGGAAAAAUGUAGAAAGGCCACACCGACUCCAUUUUGUCCCAGACACAUCCGGUUGACAAUGUCAUGGGAAAAGUGCAGGCCUUGAAACAUCGACCCCACCCCAAGGUAAAAGCAUGAGGUCUUGUAAGGUCAAGAAGUAAACAAGUUAUAUAAUUUGAGCAUGCGCAAUUUGAGUUUCUUUGUUCUUUAUCUCAAUAAAAGCUACUUGCUUACGCUGGCCAGGUGGCAGCCACUUUGCUGACCCUUAGUGUGUGCAACCGUUUAUUUUCCCUUUGCUUGCAGAACCCCAACAGUUUUACUUUGUCAAAAAUGGAAAUCAAGUUGACAAUAGCAUCUGCUUUAUGUUUUCCCAUUGACAAUGGUCUUGGAAGAUUAGAAUGGACUCGAAUCUGAUCAAUAAAGAAUAGAGCAAUUCUGUUAAGUAUAGCCUUUUGUAGUUUUGAAAAUAGUUGUAAUAAAGUAGACUCAAUGUUGGAGCAAAUAGAAAGAGAUUCAAUCUUUCGGGUCAGAUAUAUUGUGUAAGAGGAGUCAAUCUAUUAGGGGAUUGGUCUGUAAAUUGUUCUAAAACAUAAGAACAGCCUUUAUUUCUGAGGGCUGUGCUGAAUCCCCCUUCAUAGACAAGGAAUGCUGGGAGGAGCAGCUACAGAUAGCUGCUUUCCCCUUAAAAGAACCCUCUGUAUGGUAGGUAGGUGCCCCGUCAAUGGCUUGAAAUGAGUGACCUUUGGGAGACUAGCAUAAUUGAGAAGGAAGAAUUGUAAAAAGGGUUAGUAGAGUAUAGAUUAUCUGUUGUCCCUAGGAACUGAGAAAAUGCUACCUUCCAGAAAGGGGUAGUUUGUAGCAAUGUCUGUCUCUGUUGAGCGUCUAUUGGUACUACAAUGAUGGCUGGAUCAUGUCCAAAGAGCUGACACGUUCUAUUUCUUCCCAUAGUCACUAUUUUUGCUAUUUAUUUUACAUAUAACUGGAGAGUUUUUACUAGUUGAUUUGGCAAGAAUAGCUAUUCCAUAGGAGAAAGAAUCUUAUUAACCCAUUGUUCUAACAUUCCUAUAGGAGAAUGAGGAGUCUGUAACAAAUAGGUUGAAUAAUAUCAACUCUAAAACAUUGCCUAGAAUGCAGACAUUUUUCAACUAAUUUUGGUUCUUUGACUGCUUCUGUGAGUUUCUGGGGAGAAUUUAAAUCUUUAUCAUCUUGAAGAAUACCAUAUAAAUUUUAUAACUGAUAAGUUGGUAUGCCUAAUUUGGGCCUAAGCAAAUUAAUAUCUCUUAACAGUUUUGGGCAAUCCUUUAAAGUUUGUAGGUUGUCUAUCCUUAUCUGAAUCUUUUGUAGUUUGAUUACCCUCUCAGAAAAAAUAGAGCCCAAAUAACUGUAAAGACUUAACAUUUGUAGUUUUUCAGGUGCUAGUUGAAGGCCAAAAGCAAGUAAAUCUCUCUUGACUUCUUCAAAUAGCAUCAGUAAAUUAGUUUAGAGGACAUAGCAAGUAAGAUUUCAUUCAUAUAGUGGAUAAUAUAAGCUUGAGAGAAUUGAGUUCUGCAUCUUUUCCAAGUUUGUGCUACAAACCUGUUACUAUUUGCCAUUCCCUAUGGAAGCCUAGUCUAUUGAAAAUGUUUGGCUGGUUAGUGAAAAUUAAUGCCUCAUACUGAACAUGCAAAAAAAAAAGGUUGAUCCUGAGAAGAGAGUGGGAUAUUUAAAAAGCAGUCUUUAAGAUCAGUGCCGUGGGAUUACAGUAACACUAUCUAGACCAGAUCAUAAUGCCCUCAUAGGCAACAUGCAAGCAUCUACAGCUCUCCAGCUUUGUAUUAAUCUCCACUUGCCUGAUCUUUUUGGAAUUACAAACACAAGGGUAUUCCAUGGACUAACAGAUGGCUCAAGAUAACCUAUUGUAGCUGUUCUUCUACUAAUGUCAAUAAGAUCUUUAACUUUUCCUGAGUUAGGGGUCAUUGAGGAAUCCAUUUCAGCUCUAUAUUUUCCCAUUGAAUUGGCAGUGCAGAAAUAGGCAGAGAAAUGCCAGUGGCCCUCACUAUAAAUUUGACUCAUAUCCAAUUCUAGAUCCACCUGGUUUUAUUAAAGGCUCAACUGGAAGUUUACAACCCUGUAAGUUCUUGCUCAAACCUUUGUUUUCUCAACAUUCCAUUUUAGCCUUUUCUUGUUAGUGGGAGAUAUGUUCUUCUGAGAGACAGAAAUAAUUAGGACAGUGCCCCACUCUUUCAUAAGGUCUCUUCCUCAUAAAUUAAUGGAAAUGGGUAUGAUAAAUGCUGUUAUGAUACCUGUCUGCCCAUUAGGACCAAUAUAUGGAAGUAGUAUAGCACUGUGAGAUACAGAUUGAGAGGAGCCUAAGCCUAACAGGGUGUGGAGACAGGUCUAAUGAACCAAGCAGAUGGCCAAGAUUGGCUAUUGACUAUAGUGACAUCAGCUUCUGUAUCCUUUAGUCCAGUAAAGGAUUUUCCAUUUAAUUUAAUAGUGUGAGUAGGUCUAUCAGCAGUAAUAUCCUGAAAAAAAUAAAUUUCUCUGCUCAGAUACCUACCUUUAUCAGACUUGUGUGAAGGGUAGAGAGCAGGAGAUGAGCCAAUUGUGGGAUAGAGUAAAAUCUGAGCAAUCAGAUCACCAGGUUCAAUCCCCAUAUGUUGGUGGAACAUAUCACAACUGAUAUUUCUUGAUGACAAUCACUGUUUAAUAUAGUAGCAAUUACAGUAAGUCCUCUAGUAGUUGAGCUUGAUUUUCCAAUAACUAAUCCCGUGGUCCCUUUUGGCAAUGGCCCAUAGAUUCCAGUGGGAAUUAAAACUGGUUUCUCCCCUCCAUCAAUGAAUGUAGGAAGCUGCUGGUAAAUCUAAAUUUGCACCCUGGGUGGCUCCUUGUAGGAGGGAUUUAAUAUCACACUUUGUUCUCAUCCAGACAGAGGAACUAAUGUUUGUUUGGUUUGGACCAGAUGCAACUGGUUCAACAGUGCAUCAGAUAGCAGGAUACCAUUUGAUACCAUCCCCUGAGUUUAUGCCUGGCUCUGAGGAAGGGCUGAUUCUCUGUUUCCCUGGAGCAGGGUUGAAUCAUCCUUAUGAAAUCUAGACCUACAGUCCUUUGCCCAGUGAAAAUCUUUCAUACAACGUGGGCACAGAUUACACGGUGAAUUUGAACCUUGUCUAGUAAUAGUAAGCACAGCUGAGGGAAGUGAUGCCUUUAUAGGUUCUGGCAGAGUUUGUGUGUCCUUGAUUGCCACAAUUAAAACAUUUUAUCACAUCAGCCUUAAGGGCUACAUGUUGGGAUACAGCCUGUGCCAUGAAUGCAGAAGUGUGAAUGGUAGGUCCCAUAUUUGGCAUGUGUGUAUGUAAGUAGGUAAGUCUUUAGUACGAAGCACUGAGGCUAAAGCUCAUUUACAUUCCUUAUUGGCAUUCUCAUAUGCUAACUGACAGGGAAGUAUUCUAGCUGCACUGUCAUGAGAACUCUGUCUACGUAUAGCCUCUUGCAAUCUUGCUACAAACUGGGUGUAAGUUUCUGUAGAAUCUUGGAAUACCUGGGUAAAUGAUUUAUUGGGUGUACCAUCUUCUCAGACAGAAAUCUAUGCUCAGCAUAGUAGUUCUUUGCACUGUGUGAAGAGAAGGGGCAAGGGAUCAUGCUUGAACCUUUAAAUCAGCAUAUCUGCCCAUGCCAGAUAACAUUUCCUGAGUAAUAGCUUGUAAGUUUUUAGCCUUACUAUCUUGAUUAUUCUGAGCUUGUUCUGAAAUGAGUGUCUUUAAAUGUGAUUCACGAUGUAGGAACUGGGUGAGUGAAACGGGUUACACCACCUGUCACCAUUUGGAAGUCUUGAAUUAUGUUAUCUGAGCAACCAAGAGUAUAUUGAUCCUGAACUCCGAUAUCAAUUAUGAUCUGCCUCGAUUCUUUCAACAAAAGUUAAAAGCUGUGUGCAUAUUGUGUCUAUGGGCUGAGUUUCCCAGAUCUGUCUCUGCUAUGAUUGGCAAGCCUAAUGCCUAUGGAUAUAGUGUCAUGUCACUAUACUUUGCUUUCCUUGGAGGAGGGGAAGGAGGAGGGUCCUUUCUGGUCUCAGAUCUUGGUAUGGGAGAGGAGGGUACUGUAGGAAGCAUAGCAACAGAAGUGUUAUUUUCCAAAGAGAUACAGAAAAUGAAUCUGAGCAUGUGGGUAAAUUGGAAAAGUUUCAGAUUGCAUUAAAAAUUUCUUGUAAAAGUGAAUAUAUCUGAUUAUCCAUACUUGUUAAACAUGCUUCGUUUUUCUCUAGCAACCCGUUGGGAAUCAUAUUAUCAUAGUGAUCUGGCUUAUUCAUUAUGCAACUCUUUUCCAUCUUAUUUCCCUCACUUAUAGUCAUUUUGUCUGCAUAGGUACAGUGUAUUGCAGUGGUACCUGGCUGUUGGUCUGCCUUAUUUUCUAGGUUAUGUUGCAAUGAUGAAGCGCCACUUUCACCAAGUUAUAUGUAGCUAUUGUUUUGAAUUGGGUAUUUUUUUAUCUUGGAUUGUAGCUACAUAAAAACUCUCACCUAUUUUAUCCCAAACUCUCAUAUCGAGUGUGCCUGCUUUGGGAGAGGAAGGAUAGAAUUUAGUUAUCUGACAGAGUAAUCUAAUAAUGUGUUUUGAUGGACUUUGAGGUCUGCGUCAUUUAACAGCUUCAUAAUCAAUUGGCUAAGUUCUUUCUCUUCAGCAGAUAAAGAAUACAAUUGCCCCAUAGUUACCUUUUACGAACAGCCUCCAACAACAGAUUUCUGUUUGUUAAUUGUGUCUGAGCUAUAUAAUUAGUAAAAUGCUCCACUUACUUUUAACUUGGUAAUGCAAGAUCCAGUAGAUUGUCAACAUCUUGAUAGUGGUUGGUGUGGCUUGAAGUUCAUGUGUUCUGGUAGUGCUGGGCACCAAAUAUUGGGAACCUGGCCAAGGGUCCUGAUUGUCAAUCUUGAAAAUGUUGUGAGAAAAAUAAAAAACAGAGACAAGUAUUCCAACAACAGCUAGGAAGUAAAUGUCUCUGGCCCUGACUUCCUCCACUCCCCAAACAGCCACUAUUUAUUUGGUCUAUAUAGUGAUAGGCGGGGCUAGCAAGGGAUUACAGUUCAUCCAAAGACUCUGACUCCAGAGGACGUAGAUAAUCUUAUGUUUGAAAUAUUUUGACCUGAGUAUAAUCCUGUGAUGAUUUAAGAAAGCACAGAUAUGAUCUUAUGUUUAGAAAUAUCUCAUCCUUGUGUAUAAUCCUCAAAUGACUUAAGAAUGUGUAGAUGAUCUUAUGCUUGGAAGAGUCAAUGGGAGUCCCAGAUGGGUAUUACAUCAAUCCCAAUCCUUCCUUUCAUCCCACAGGGAAAUACACAAAACCAGACACUGUGAAUUUGUGGUCCCCAACAAUUCUCCCUCAAAAUAGUCUCAUUGCUUCAAACACACUCAUCCUGUAAUUUUUACAAAUUUUUGAAGUGGUCUGGAAAUCCACUUUCAUGUCUUUAUUCACACUGUCAUGACCACCUUGAUGUUUUUAGUUGAUUCAAAACAUUUUCCUCUCACCGUCAUUUUAGCUUUAGGGAAGAGCCAGAAAUCACACAGUCCCAGAUAUGGUGUAUUAGAUAGACAAUGAUGAUGACACACUGUAGUAUUUUUAUGAAUCUCCCUUUCUGUUGGAUGGCACUUGGCAAUAGCAUUCACCAUAUUUUUUUAGCAUAUCUCAUAAGGACACUCACCCAAAACGUUUUCCAGAUUGCUUUAGAAAGUGGCAGGAAAAGGGGCUGGGGAUUUAGCUCAGUGGCAUAAGCGCCUGCCUUGCAAGCAGGCAGUCAUGAGUUCGAUCCCUGGUACCGAUAAAAACGAAAAAGACAAAAAAAAAAAAAAAAAAAGAAAGUGGCAGGAGUGAUGGGAUAAGUGUGUUAGAAGCAAGAGGGAGUAUUUUGAGGGUAAUUAACAGCAAUGUGUCUUUUAUUAUGAUAAAUUUUUUAUUUAAACAUUCUCCAAGUAUUUGAUCACAUCUUAUUUAUCCAUACCUGUAGAUGAUCAUAACAGCACUGUUCACAAUAAUAAAAAAGUUAUAACAAUUCAAAUAUUGGUAAAUGGAUCAACAUAUUAUGAACAGCUACUUUGAAGAAAACAAGACAUUAUGGCAGCCUUGCUGAUUUAAUAUCAUCUUGUUUUGAAGUCCUACCAUGCUUUUGUUCUUCUGUUUCCAUUGGUUCUGUCUUGUGUCUUACUGGAUUUUAUUAUGUGUGAUAGUACAAAAAAAAUUUUAUGGAAAAUGAGAAUAUUUUUUAGCAUAUAAAAUAUUUUUAUGGAAAAUGAGAAGCCAUUGUUCAUUUUCUGUUAUUUGGGUUUGAAUGUCCUGUAACACUUUCAUUCUCUUGAAUAGUUUUAUACUAUUUUGUUACAUUUGACACUAUUGUAUGUGAAGUUAUGCUUAACUAUUUCAAAGAAAAGAGACAUUAUGGUAGCUACUGUUAAUAUCCGGUUGUCUUGUUCUGAAAUGCUGUGUUGCUUGCGUUGUUCUGUUUUGACUUGCUUUGUUCUGUCCUCUUUUAUUUCAUUCUCUUUAAAAUAAAAAAUAUUGGUAAAUGGA